Molecule: ribosomal RNA, 621 nt
Filed under: Vreelandella aquamarina
Lineage: Bacteria; Pseudomonadati; Pseudomonadota; Gammaproteobacteria; Oceanospirillales; Halomonadaceae
Description: bacterial SSU rRNA
Rfam family: Bacterial small subunit ribosomal RNA
Source: RNAcentral
AUGCAUAGGAAUCUGCCCGAUAGUGGGGGAUAACCUGGGGAAACCCAGGCUAAUACCGCAUACGUCCUACGGGAGAAAGGGGGCUCCGGCUCCCGCUAUGGGAUGAGCCUAUGUCGGAUUAGCUAGUUGGUGAGGUAACGGCUCACCAAGGCCACGAUCCGUAGCUGGUCUGAGAGGAUGAUCAGCCACAUCGGGACUGAGACACGGCCCGAACUCCUACGGGAGGCAGCAGUGGGGAAUAUUGGACAAUGGGGGCAACCCUGAUCCAGCCAUGCCGCGUGUGUGAAGAAGGCCCUCGGGUUGUAAAGCACUUUCAGCGAGGAAGAACGCCUAGCGGUUAAUACCCGCUAGGAAAGACAUCACUCGCAGAAGAAGCACCGGCUAACUCCGUGCCAGCAGCCGCGGUAAUACGGAGGGUGCAAGCGUUAAUCGGAAUUACUGGGCGUAAAGCGCGCGUAGGUGGCUUGAUAAGCCGGUUGUGAAAGCCCCGGGCUCAACCUGGGAACGGCAUCCGGAACUGUCGAGCUAGAGUGCAGGAGAGGAAGGUAGAAUUCCCGGUGUAGCGGUGAAAUGCGUAGAGAUCGGGAGGAAUACCAGUGGCGAAGGCGGCCUUCUGGACUG